GGAUCCUCUGUUUCCGGGAGGCAGAGAGUCUCUGCCUCCCUCAACCUCAUUGGUCCACCUGUAUAGACUGCCAUGUAGGCAAAUUUUAUUUUAAAAAAUAAAUAAAAUUUCCGCCUGAGCUUCCUAACGGCAACGGCAGCCACUAACGGUGCUUUCCAUUUUCGUUCUCCGGAGAUUUUUACAAGAGAUUUCUUCUCCUGUCUGUGGAUUCUAAUUUCAAAUUCCUUCUUUUACAGAUGGAUUCGAUCAAAGCUCCCGCUGGAAGAAAAAUCCCCUUUUUUCUUUUGACAAUCGGAGGCCCCUCCUUCCCCAAUCUCUCUCAAUCUCUUUCGCCCAUUUUUCAUCGUUCGAUUCAUGACAGGCUGCCCGCCGAUAGCCGAUUUCGGCCCAUUGAAGUCUAUUUCAUCCAUUCAUCCAUCGAAGAUUCACCCCAUCUCACAGGUGGGUACUUGCUUCUUUCAUGAAAUUUGUGCUUGGAAUGGAAGUACAUGGUGGAAUAUCAGAAUAUUCUGGGAUUGCUGGAGGCUCGUGCGGAACUUUAACCUUUGCUUUUUAAAUCUCAUGAUUGCUUAAAGGAUCUAUUAUUUUUGGAUAUUGCCCUUGAUUCUACAGUUAGGACGGCCGUUGAGAGGGGAUAUGAGGAAUUGAAUAAUGUUGAACCAGAGAGAUGCUUAUUGCCAAUAAAGACAAACUCCCGUGCAUUGAUUGCAUUUCCCAGGUUCAGAAACUACAAAAGGAGCUACAAGAGGAGAUCGACUUGCAUUUUGCUUUGGCAAAUGCUGUUGCUCAAACUUCUGCACCUUUGUCUGGUUCUCCUUCUCAGAUUCCCACCAAGGCUCAAGAGUUGUUGUCUAACAAAGCUGUGCUCGAGUUCAUAGUUCUAAAGCUUGAAGAAGAAUUGAUUGCCUUGCAUUUUCUACUUAGUCAGGAGAGGAAUGAACGCAUAUAAGUUGGAGCCCUGAUCUUCAAUAUUAAUGCUAGAGAAGGAUCCUUCAAUUUGGUUACUUCCACUUCUUUAUGCUUAUAAUACAUAUUAUUUGAUAUUUCCAAAUGGACCCUCGAAUUUAUAGUAUAUGUAGUUCAAAACUGGAAGCUAA
Magnolia sinica is the source of this 1097-nucleotide RNA transcript. RefSeq lists it as uncharacterized. The record is from RefSeq and is a predicted model, not a curated record. The transcript is spliced from 5 exons. Lineage: Eukaryota; Viridiplantae; Streptophyta; Magnoliopsida; Magnoliales; Magnoliaceae.